Molecule: transfer RNA, 73 nt
Filed under: Flexilinea flocculi
Lineage: Bacteria; Bacillati; Chloroflexota; Anaerolineae; Anaerolineales; Anaerolineaceae
Also listed under: 2 other names
Rfam family: tRNA
About the family: Transfer RNA (tRNA) molecules are approximately 80 nucleotides in length.
Source: Rfam by way of RNAcentral
GCCGACAUAGCUCAGUUGGUAGAGCAGCCGCCUUGUAAGCGGCAGGUCAUGGGUUCGAGUCCCAUUGUCGGCU